Hemicordylus capensis (graceful crag lizard) is the source of this 312-nucleotide long non-coding RNA. RefSeq lists it as uncharacterized. Lineage: Eukaryota; Metazoa; Chordata; Lepidosauria; Squamata; Cordylidae. The transcript is spliced from 4 exons. The record is from RefSeq and is a predicted model, not a curated record.
GCUCAGACUAUACCUCCUUCUGUCUGAGAAGAAAAUGAAAUUUAAAAAUUUAUCUGCACUGGUACUUUAGACUCCCUGUUACAAAGGCAUUUCUGCUAUGGGGCAUCCCACAGAUGUCAGGAAAGAAGGAAUUGAGAAUGAAAUGCCCUGCACCAAAUAGAUUCACUUUCAAGGCUUGGAAAAGAAAAUCAACUUCUUUUUUUAAAGCUACUGAUCUUGGCUGAAGUGCAUUUGGACUUCUUAAGUAUCCAACUUCACAGUUAGGCUAGGCUGAAGAAGAGUGACUGGCCCAUGACCGCCCAGUGUGAGGAG